Molecule: long non-coding RNA, 1971 nt
Filed under: Anas platyrhynchos platyrhynchos (common mallard)
Lineage: Eukaryota; Metazoa; Chordata; Aves; Anseriformes; Anatidae
Description: lncRNA (ENSAPLG00000021200.1)
Source: RNAcentral
ACAAAGCCAUUUACCAACGCCGUGUUGACACAGCAGAGCUCGGGACAGAGUCACAAAGGGCACUCGCAGCGGGCCCCUGCGGCACCCGGGGAGCCUGGGGAGCGCUGCGAGGGGGGCGAAGGGUCCCCGGCUUCGGUGCCACCAAGAAAGCCGCUCUCUGCCGUGCCCUCCGCGGGGAGAAGAGCGGGCACCGCGCUGCCCAGGGCUGCCCGGGGAGAUGCUCCCGCUGCGCCCGAGCCCGGCUGGUGCCGCUUUCCCGGGGAGCACGGAGGCCGCGCCAGCGCCGGGUGCCCGGCGGCUGAGCCCUACCCAGGGGGCUGGAGGCUCCGGAGCGGGCCCGGCCCGCGGGACGCCCCCGGGACCGGACACCCCUCGCCCAGGGGCUCAGCCCCGCCGGCACCGGGCGGCUCGGGGAGCUGCGGCUGCGGAGCGCCGGGGCUCGAGCAGCGGCCCCGGAGCCGAGCGGUCCCGGGCCGGGUCCAGAGCCACGCGUCGGGGCGCGCCGUGUCCGCCGGUGCCGUCCGGGAGCCCCGAGACCGCGGGGAUGGGCGCUCGCCUCCCUCCCUCCGCCCCCCCCCCCCCCCCGUACCUGUCGGGGCUGCUCUGGCGGCGGAUCCCGUGCGCAUCUCGGUGCUGGCGGGGGCCGGGACCGGGACCGGGACCGGUGCGCUCGGCCGCUCCGGCGAAAACUUUUGCCGGAGCCGCGACGACGGCGGCGGUGGCGGCUCGGGGGGGAGGGACCGGCGCGGGGGGAGGGACCGCGGGCGAGGAGCCGCUUCCCACCGCCCCGCUCCUCCCGCUGGCACGGGGAGGGGAUCGGGGGGGCGGCCCCGUGCCCCCGGACCGGGUGCUCGGCUCUGCCGCGAGGCUCCUCCAGCACCGGUGAGAGCGCCCGAGAGCUGCGAGCACCCGCGCCUGCCGCUGCCGUCGGUCUCCGGUGUCGGCUCCUCCGCUCCGCUCCGCCCCGGUGCCGACCACCCCGGGACCUGCCGGUGGAGCGGCGGGGCCGGGCGGGGGCAGCUGGGCGCGCACCGCCCCGGUGGGGGGGAGGGAUGGGGCCGCCCGUGCCUCCGCCGGUACAGCUCCCGCCGGGGGGUGCCCCGCGGAUGCUUCCCCGGCCCCAGCCGCGGUGGCCGGGCCCGCCGGUCCCCCCGGCUCCCCCGCGGUCCCAGCGGGUCCCUCGGCACCGCCCGGUGUCCCCGUCCCAGCUCUGGCAGGAGGCGAGGCCCCGCCGCCUCCCGGCUCCGGUGCCCGCUGCCGGCCGCUCCUGCCCGCGGGAGCGGGGCUGCUCCCCUCGGGGCCCGGCCGAGCCUCCGCCGGGCGGCCGGGAGCUGCCGCCACCCUCUCGUUCCGGCCGCCGCUGGCGGUGACGGGUCCGUGUUUGCCUCGCGCCGUCCUGCUGGAGCCCGGUCCGGUAACCACGGCCCGCAGCGCGGCCCCCCCGCAGCACCGGGGCCGGGGCCGGAGCCUGGCCGGGGCUCACCGCGCGUUUGCCUUCGGCUGCCCGCUGCGACCCCGCGCGGGGUCCCGGGGCCGCCUCGAGCCCCCCAGGCCCGGGGGGGGCUGUGCGGGGAGAGGACCGGGGCGGGCGGGGGGCACCGGGCGCCCCUCCGGGGGCCGAGCCCGGGGCAGGGGCCGGGCCGGGAGCGGCGGCAGGAGCGCAGAGUGCCGGCAGCCCCCGGCAGCCCCCGGCCCCCUCCCGCUUCGUGGUGCGCGGAGCGGGGCCGAGCACCGACGGGAGGCGGCCCCGGACUCCGCGACGGAGGCUCCGUGCCUCCGGCGGCGGGAGGGCACCGGGGGGGUUCCGCAGCUCGGGGCAUGGCCCCGCGGGGCAAAGCCCCCCUCCCGCCCGGCCUCUUGGAAGCGGUGCCGGGAGGAGCGGGGGCCCGGCUCGCCCCUCGCCCACCUGCCCGCGGCUCUCGCACGGAGCCAGGCACGGGAACAAAGCGGCGGCGCCAGCCGCAUCGUUAG